GGAUGUGAAGGUGAUCUGGCUGUGACAUCUGUCACCCCAUUGAUCGCCAGGGUUGAUUCGGCUGAUCUGGCUGGCUAGGUGGGUAUCCCCUUCCUCCCUCACCGCUCCAUGUGUGUCCCUCCUGAAGCUGUGCGCUUGAUCAAAGAGGACAACCAUCCCUGAUAGAGGAGGACCGGUCUUCGGUCAAGGGUAUACGAGUAGCUGCGCUCCCCUGCUAGAACCUCCAAACAAGCUCUCAAGGUCCAUUCUGCAGCUGCCAGCAUCUGAAGCCUUGCUCCUGAAGACUCUACAAAACACACUGCCCACAUGGGCUGGGAAUGUG
Dipodomys ordii (Ord's kangaroo rat) is the source of this 322-nucleotide unclassified non-coding RNA. Its record names the gene 7SK. It matches the Rfam family "7SK RNA". Rfam says of the family: 7SK was discovered as an abundant small nuclear RNA in the mid-70s but a possible function has only recently been suggested. The record is from Ensembl. Lineage: Eukaryota; Metazoa; Chordata; Mammalia; Rodentia; Heteromyidae.